CGGCACCUUCUGGGAGCUUUUCUUCUCUGUUAACUCCUUCCCGGAGCUGCCUGCAAUCAAAGACCACCAUCUUGAACAGCGAAGAUGAGGAGCAGAGGCCUGGAAGUGGUUUACAAACAGAUGACUAUGGAUGCCCCACAUGUGCUGCUUCAUCUGACUGUUGUGUCAGAGGAAAGAAUGCCACUAUCCUGUCUGAAAAUUCAGCCCAAAGGCUUUCUCUGUACAUCAAAAUAGUUUGCUUCUCUUCCUUCCCUGGCGUGUUUGACCAAGGCCCCAGAGAAUGUGUUCCCUUCCCUAGAAAUUUCUCAGGAUCUCAGGAAACCUCACAGGGAGCUGGGGUGGAGGUGUAGGCAUUGGAGGAGGCCUGCGGGUGUACAGCAUGAGGGGCCAGACGGUGGGCCUGGAUGUUCUUCAGAGACU
Molecule: long non-coding RNA, 420 nt
Filed under: Vulpes vulpes (red fox)
Lineage: Eukaryota; Metazoa; Chordata; Mammalia; Carnivora; Canidae
Description: lncRNA (ENSVVUG00000028217.1)
Source: RNAcentral